GUAGGUGGCAAGCGUUGUCCGGAAUUAUUGGGCGUAAAGCGCGCGCAGGCGGUUCUUUAAGUCUGAUGUGAAAGCCCACGGCUCAACCGUGGAGGGUCAUUGGAAACUGGAGAACUUGAGUACAGAAGAGGAAAGCGGAAUUCCACGUGUAGCGGUGAAAUGCGUAGAGACGUGGAGGAACACCAGUGGCGAAGGCGGCUUUCUGGUCUGUAACUGACGCUGAGGCGCGAAAGCGUGGGGAGCAAACAGGGAUUAGAUACCCUGGUAGUCCACGCCGUAAACGAUGAGUGCUAAGUGUUAGGGGGUUUCCGCCCCCUUAGUGCUGCAGCUAACGCAUUAAGCACUCCGCCUGGGGAUACGGCCGCAAGGCUG
Molecule: ribosomal RNA, 372 nt
Filed under: uncultured organism
Description: partial 16S ribosomal RNA
Rfam family: Bacterial small subunit ribosomal RNA
Source: RNAcentral